This 301-nucleotide ribosomal RNA is filed under the name uncultured bacterium. Its description in RNAcentral is "partial 16S ribosomal RNA". It matches the Rfam family "Bacterial small subunit ribosomal RNA", at positions 509 to 807 of the family's 1533-position model. The record is from RNAcentral.
CAGUAGCCGCGGUAAUACGAAGGGGGCUAGCGUUGUUCGGAAUUACUGGGCGUAAAGGGCGCGUAGGCGGCCAUUCAAGUUAGAUGUGAAAGCCCUGGGCUCAACCUAGGAAUUGCAUUUGAUACUGUUUGGCUUGAGUUCGGGAGAGGUGAGUGGAAUUCCCAGUGUAGAGGUGAAAUGCGUAGAUAUCGGAAGGAACACCUGUGGCGAAAGCGGCUCACUGGACCAUUUCUGACGCUGAUGCACGAAAGCUAGGGGAGCAAACAGGAUUAGAGACCCCCGUAGUCCCUGUCUCUUAUAC